This 235-nucleotide long non-coding RNA is filed under the name Chlamydomonas reinhardtii. Its description in RNAcentral is "long non-coding RNA (CREI_LNC000414)". The record is from RNAcentral. Lineage: Eukaryota; Viridiplantae; Chlorophyta; Chlorophyceae; Chlamydomonadales; Chlamydomonadaceae.
GCCUCUCACCCACACGACCCAAAACUUGCUUUCACGCUCUACUUCAACUCCAGGCCUGCUGCACACCCCACAUCACGCGUGGUAUAGAUGUAUAGAUAGGUUCGCGCUCUAGUGAUGCGGAGCGCCAUGUAUGAGGCUCACACUGGCAGCAGACACGCCGCCGGCGCCAAUGGUGACAUCGGCAAGCAGCCAUCAGCAUGCAGCACUGGUAGGCAAAGCGCUGCCUCCCCACGAU